RNAcentral lists this ribosomal RNA (1008 nucleotides) under Fusarium avenaceum. Its description in RNAcentral is "partial large subunit ribosomal RNA". It matches the Rfam family "Eukaryotic large subunit ribosomal RNA", at positions 367 to 1402 of the family's 3401-position model. Lineage: Eukaryota; Fungi; Ascomycota; Sordariomycetes; Hypocreales; Nectriaceae. The record is from RNAcentral.
AAAAGCACUUUGAAAAGAGAGUUAAAAAGUACGUGAAAUUGUUGAAAGGGAAGCGUUUAUGACCAGACUUGGACUUGGUUAAUCAUCUGGGGUUCUCCCCAGUGCACUUUUCCAGUUCAGGCCAGCAUCAGUUUUCGCCGGGGGAUAAAGGCUUCGGGAAUGUAGCUCUCUUCGGGGAGUGUUAUAGCCCGUUGUGUAAUACCCUGGUGGAGACUGAGGUUCGCGCUUCUGCAAGGAUGCUGGCGUAAUGGUCAUCAACGACCCGUCUUGAAACACGGACCAAGGAGUCGUCUUCGUAUGCGAGUGUUCGGGUGUCAAACCCCUACGCGUAAUGAAAGUGAACGCAGGUGAGAGCUUCGGCGCAUCAUCGACCGAUCCUGAUGUUCUCGGAUGGAUUUGAGUAAGAGCAUACGGGGCCGGACCCGAAAGAAGGUGAACUAUGCCUGUAUAGGGUGAAGCCAGAGGAAACUCUGGUGGAGGCUCGCAGCGGUUCUGACGUGCAAAUCGAUCGUCAAAUAUGGGCAUGGGGGCGAAAGACUAAUCGAACCUUCUAGUAGCUGGUUUCCGCCGAAGUUUCCCUCAGGAUAGCAGUGUUGAACUCAGUUUUAUGAGGUAAAGCGAAUGAUUAGGGACUCGGGGGCGCUAUAUUGCCUUCAUCCAUUCUCAAACUUUAAAUAUGUAAGAAGCCCUUGUUGCUUAAUUGAACGUGGGCAUUCGAAUGUAUCAACACUAGUGGGCCAUUUUUGGUAAGCAGAACUGGCGAUGCGGGAUGAACCGAACGCGAGGUUAAGGUGCCAGAGUAGACGCUCAUCAGACACCACAAAAGGUGUUAGUACAUCUUGACAGCAGGACGGUGGCCAUGGAAGUCGGAAUCCGCUAAGGACUGUGUAACAACCACCUGCCGAAUGUACUAGCCCUGAAAAUGGAUGGCGCUCAAGCGUCUCACCCAUACCUCGCCCUCAGGGUAGAAACGAUGCCCUGAGGAGUAGGCGGACGUGGAGGUCAGUG